RNAcentral lists this ribosomal RNA (420 nucleotides) under uncultured archaeon. Its description in RNAcentral is "partial 16S ribosomal RNA". It matches the Rfam family "Archaeal small subunit ribosomal RNA", at positions 323 to 746 of the family's 1478-position model. The record is from RNAcentral.
CUACGGGAGGCUGCAGCUGAGGAUUUUUUACAAUGCACGAAAGUGUGAUAAAGCGAGCCAGAGUGUUGUUCUUAGAACAACUUUUAUUUGCUGUAAAAAGGCAGAUGAAUAAGGACUGGGUAAGACCGGUGCCAGCCGCCGCGGUAAUACCGGCGGUCCAAGUUGCAUCCAUUUUUAUUGGGUCUAAAACAUCCGUAGCUUGCUUUGUAAGUUUCUUGUGAAAUCUCAUGUCUCAAGCAUGAGGCUUGCAAGAAAUACUGCAUAGCUAGAGACCGGAAGACGUAAGGAGUAUGAUUGAGGUAGCGGUAAAAUGUGUUAAUCUUAAUCAGACUAACAACGGCGAAGGCACCUUACGAGUACGGAUCUGACAGUGAGGGAUGAAGGCUAGGGGCGCAAAACGGAUUAGAUACCCCCGUAGUC